UGGGGAAUAUUGCACAAUGGGCGCAAGCCUGAUGCAGCCAUGCCGCGUGUAUGAAGAAGGCCUUCGGGUUGUAAAGUACUUUCAGUCGGGAGGAAGGUGUCAAGGUUAAUAACCUUGGCAAUUGACGUUACCGACAGAAGAAGCACCGGCUAACUCAGUGCCAGCAGCCGCGGUAAUACGGAGGGUGCGAGCGUUAAUCGGAAUUACUGGGCGUAAAGAGCACGCAGGCGGUUGAUUGAGUCAGAUGUGAAAUCCCCGGGCUUAACCCGGGAAUUGCAUCUGAUACUGGUCAGCUAGAGUCUUGUAGAGGGGGGUAGAAUUCCAUGUGUAGCGGUGAAAUGCGUAGAGAUGUGGAGGAAUACCGGUGGCGAAGGCGGCCCCCUGGACAAAGACUGACGCUCAGGUGCGAAAGCGUGGGGAGCAAACAGG
RNAcentral lists this ribosomal RNA (429 nucleotides) under Chloroflexota bacterium. Its description in RNAcentral is "Chloroflexi bacterium partial 16S ribosomal RNA". It matches the Rfam family "Bacterial small subunit ribosomal RNA", at positions 355 to 776 of the family's 1533-position model. Lineage: Bacteria; Bacillati; Chloroflexota. The record is from RNAcentral.